GAUGAACGCUGGCGGCGUGCUUAACACAUGCAAGUCGAACGAAGAUGCCGGAGUGCUUGCACUUUGGCAGACUGAGUGGCGGACGGGUGAGUAACGCGUGGGUAACCUGCCUUAUACAGGGGGAUAACAGUUGGAAACGACUGCUAAUACCGCAUAAGCGCACGGUAUCGCAUGAUACAGUGUGAAAAACUCCGGUGGUAUAAGAUGGACCCGCGUCUGAUUAGCUUGUUGGUGAGGUAACGGCCCACCAAGGCGACGAUCAGUAGCCGGCCUGAGAGGGUGAACGGCCACAUUGGGACUGAGACACGGCCCAGACUCCUAUGGGAGGCAGCAGUGGGGGAUAUUGGACAAUGGGGGAAACCCUGAUCCAGCGAUGCCGCGUGAGGGAAGAAGGUUUUCGGAUUGUAAACCUCUGUGGACAGGGACGAUAAUGACGGUACCUGACUAAGAAGCACCGGCUAAAAUACGUG
Molecule: ribosomal RNA, 470 nt
Filed under: uncultured bacterium
Lineage: Bacteria
Description: bacterial SSU rRNA
Rfam family: Bacterial small subunit ribosomal RNA
Source: RNAcentral